Molecule: long non-coding RNA, 2492 nt
Organism: Equus quagga
Lineage: Eukaryota; Metazoa; Chordata; Mammalia; Perissodactyla; Equidae
Exons: 5
Source: RefSeq, a predicted model, not a curated record
UGGCCUGGCCUGAAGUGCAGACUCCUGCCUUGAGGUGUUCGGGAUUCAGCUGAGUGUGCUGAGUCCCCGCACUGGCCUGUGGGGGAGACAAAGAGACCCAGAUCCAGGUCGCCUCUUUCCCGCUUUGGGACUUGGUUCCCCGGCGGGCUCGUGGGUAAAGGCACUGGGGUCCCGACGGUCCCAGCGAGUGUGGCGUCCUGCCCCAAGAGUGCCCUGGAGAUACUUUCCUUCUAAAGGCAGGGGCGCGGGAGCUCUUCAUGCCACUGGCCGAGCUCCUAUCAGGCGUUUGAAGGAGGCAGGUUCUAAGGAUUUGUAUCCUGAUGGCUGCUGAACCAUCUGCUCCAGAUUCAAGGGCGGCCGUCCUCAGGAGACCCCGACACUUCACAUCCCUGGUAGGAUAUGAGGCCCGGCCCAAUGGACCGUCAGAGGAGGGUGUGGACUCUGAGCCUCAGAAGCAGGAGCUGACAGAGAAGAACCAAGUGUGAUGUCGAGUGUGCAGACAGGUUCCUGGAGCAAGAGUAAGGAGAUCAGAGUCCCGUCAUUGGGACACUGUAGGGCAGAGCUCUUCAUGCAGAUGACUGACCCCAUGGUAUUGAUUGGCUGAGAGGAUGCACCUUUUCGGGACUCGGCAAAGGAUGGCUGCAAGAAAGGAAGCAUUUCCGGCGCGGAGGAACUGCCUGUGCUUCGCGGUUGCUGUAGAAAUCUGACGUCAUCGUGGCGCCCGUCACGACUUUUCUAUAGAGAAAGUGGUGCUUGAUGGGAAGUGCAGGUUUCACCUUCAGCUCCUCGUGCCGUUGGCUGAGCCCAUAUCAGGCGUCUGAAGGAGACAGCUUCUGAGGAUCUGUGUCCUGCUGGCUGCUGAACCAUCUGCUCCAGAUUCCAGGGCAGCCGUCCUCAGGAGACCCCAACACUUCACAUCCCUGCUGGGAUAUGAAGCCUGGCCCGAGUGAGUGCAUACAUCUGAACAAAAGCAUGUUGUGGAAUCCGUCCUGUGAGGUUCACAAAGGAGCCUCAAAGGAGAGAAGCUACUUUGAUCUCAUCAUGAGAGAAGAGGUUUAGCAGGUGGACUCCAUUCCUUCAGCAGCUGCAUGCUCUGUAGCAGCCCUGAGAGCCAUCCUAGAGAUGCCCUCUUUUGUCUGAAAGCAGUGAAUUGUCUGGCUUGAGAAAGAAACAUGAUCUUUCACCUGCAUUUGCAAUAAAUAUAGAUGUAUAUUUUCUGAUUAUGAAUAAUAAUUAAUGAUUUCUAUGUUUUUCUCAAAUGGAUGUGAACAUAUGCAGUUAUUACAAGGUCUUCCUCCCAAUUUGAGAUCACAACAUUGAUUCUUUCCUGGUGACUUUGGUUUUAUCCACACUAUAAUGAAAUUUUUUUAAGAGCCUGAUCUUCUGUCAAUAGGUUAUUUUAAUUAUUUUUAAAUUAUUUUAAUUUCCUAUAAUUUUAUGUAAAUGCAAUCACACAGGUUGCAGUUUAUGUUCAUCUGGCUAGUUACAUUCAGCCUUUUAUUUGUUUAUUUAUAGUUUGUAAAUUAUCUUUUAUUUGACAUGAAUAUGUUAUUUAUGAACACUUGGGAAACACUUUCUUGAAUAUUGAAUACCUAAUAUCCACUAGAAGAAGACCCCUGUUGGAGAAUCACAUACAUUACCAAUUCUUUUGUAAAUCACCAAAUCAUUUAUUUCCUAUACGCUGAAGUAGAACAACCUACAGAAAUAUCUUCAGAUUUGAGAUACAGUAAAUAUUUAAUAAAUGAAUAUAACAAGUUGGAGUUAUUAAACUCUCCCAAGAAGUCACAAUAGAGAUUAGUAUUUCUUCCAGUUGUAAUGCAAAAUUUUGUUCUUUGACGAUGAUAAAAACCAAAGCAUAGAAAUGGGUUGUUUUGUUUCCUACAUAAAUAUUUAACUACAAGAAUAGGAAAGUUAGUAGGAAAGUAAUAAUCGAAUGAAUAUUUUUAACUUCAGAAACUUAUUUUAUAGGUAUUUCAUGUAACAUAUCUUUAGAUACAAUUUCUUGCAUGUAUAUGGGCUAAUAAAUAUGGAAAUUUUUAUCCUACAUACUGAAGAAUUUAAUAAAUACAUUGUGUUAUGCCUAUGUAAUGUUAGUGUUUGUAUCAGAGAUUUUUACUAGCUAUUGUAGACUACAUUUUAUUCAGUUCUUUUUUGGACCAGAAUCCACAAAAAUAUAUUUUACAUCUUGACUUAGUACAAACAUACAUAUGUUUAUAGCUGAAACCAAUAAAAAUACCUACAGCCUAGUAUAUAUUUAAUUCCACUCAUAUUUAAACUCUCAUUUAGUUUCCUUUUAAAAACUGCUGGUGGUAACACCAACUAAAUUGAUGUUACAACCCGCUAAUGGGUUGCAGCUCCAAUGGGUUGAUCUCCAAGGCAGAGAUCAGAGUUGAGCAGCUGCUCAUUGACGGACCCUGCCUCCCUUCAUAUAUACAUUUAUAACUAAUCCAAGUACACUUUCAAAUAAUGCUAUACUGCUUCACAGGUAGAGC